Molecule: ribosomal RNA, 309 nt
Filed under: uncultured eukaryote
Lineage: Eukaryota
Description: partial 18S ribosomal RNA
Rfam family: Eukaryotic small subunit ribosomal RNA
Source: RNAcentral
CCCUUAGAUGUUCUGGGCGGCCCGCGCACUACAAUGGCGUGUGCAGCGAGUGCCGAAGUAGAGUUUUCCGAGGUAUUCUUGCAAUGCUCGUUUUGAUGGGGAUAGACCCUUGCAACUGUUGGUUUUGAACGAGGAGUUCCUUGUAAGCAUGGUUUAUCAUCCGACGCUGAAUGCGUCCCUGCCCUUUGUACACACCGCCCGUCGCUCCUACCGAUGAGUCGUCCGGUGAAGUUCGUAGACCUCGUGAUCGCGGAUCACUGGGGGAAGCAAAAUGAACCUCGCGGUUUAGAGGAAGGAGAAGUCGUAACA